RNAcentral lists this ribosomal RNA (1140 nucleotides) under Staphylococcus aureus. RNAcentral's name for it is "partial 23S ribosomal RNA". It matches the Rfam family "Bacterial large subunit ribosomal RNA", at positions 1008 to 2149 of the family's 2925-position model. The record is from RNAcentral. Lineage: Bacteria; Bacillati; Bacillota; Bacilli; Caryophanales; Staphylococcaceae.
UGUUCGAAAGGGAAACAGCCCAGACCACCAGCUAAGGUCCCAAAAUAUAUGUUAAGUGGAAAAGGAUGUGGCGUUGCCCAGACAACUAGGAUGUUGGCUUAGAAGCAGCCAUCAUUUAAAGAGUGCGUAAUAGCUCACUAGUCGAGUGACACUGCGCCGAAAAUGUACCGGGGCUAAACAUAUUACCGAAGCUGUGGAUUGUCCUUUGGACAAUGGUAGGAGAGCGUUCUAAGGGCGUUGAAGCAUGAUCGUAAGGACAUGUGGAGCGCUUAGAAGUGAGAAUGCCGGUGUGAGUAGCGAAAGAUGGGUGAGAAUCCCGUCCACCGAUUGACUAAGGUUUCCAGAGGAAGGCUCGUCCGCUCUGGGUUAGUCGGGUCCUAAGCUGAGGCCGACAGGCGUAGGCGAUGGAUAACAGGUUGAUAUUCCUGUACCACCUAUAAUCGUUUUAAUCGAUGGGGGGACGCAGUAGGAUAGGCGAAGCGUGCGAUUGGAUUGCACGUCUAAGCAGUAAGGCUGAGUAUUAGGCAAAUCCGGUACUCGUUAAGGCUGAGCUGUGAUGGGGAGAAGACAUUGUGUCUUCGAGUCGUUGAUUUCACACUGCCGAGAAAAGCCUCUAGAUAGAAAAUAGGUGCCCGUACCGCAAACCGACACAGGUAGUCAAGAUGAGAAUUCUAAGGUGAGCGAGCGAACUCUCGUUAAGGAACUCGGCAAAAUGACCCCGUAACUUCGGGAGAAGGGGUGCUCUUUAGGGUUAACGCCCAGAAGAGCCGCAGUGAAUAGGCCCAAGCGACUGUUUAUCAAAAACACAGGUCUCUGCUAAACCGUAAGGUGAUGUAUAGGGGCUGACGCCUGCCCGGUGCUGGAAGGUUAAGAGGAGUGGUUAGCUUCUGCGAAGCUACGAAUCGAAGCCCCAGUAAACGGCGGCCGUAACUAUAACGGUCCUAAGGUAGCGAAAUUCCUUGUCGGGUAAGUUCCGACCCGCACGAAAGGCGUAACGAUUUGGGCACUGUCUCAACGAGAGACUCGGUGAAAUCAUAGUACCUGUGAAGAUGCAGGUUACCCGCGACAGGACGGAAAGACCCCGUGGAGCUUUACUGUAGCCUGAUAUUGAAAUUCGGCACAGCUUGUACAGGAUAGGUA